AUUGAACGCUGGCGGCAUGCUUUACACAUGCAAGUCGAACGGUAACAGGCCUUCGGGUGCUGACGAGUGGCGAACGGGUGAGCAAUGCAUCGGAACGUGCCCAAUCGUGGGGGAUAACGUAGCGAAAGUUACGCUAAUACCGCAUAAGCCCUGAGGGGGAAAGUGGGGGACCGCAAGGCCUCACGCGAAUGGAGCGGCCGAUGUCAGAUUAGCUAGUUGGUGGGGUAAAGGCUCACCAAGGCGACGAUCUGUAGCGGGUCUGAGAGGAUGAUCCGCCACACUGGGACUGAGACACGGCCCAGACUCCUACGGAAGGCAGCAGUGGGGAAUUUUGGACAAUGGGCGCAAGCCUGAUCCAGCCAUGCCGCGUGCGGGACGAAGGCCUCGG
RNAcentral lists this ribosomal RNA (388 nucleotides) under uncultured bacterium. RNAcentral's name for it is "bacterial SSU rRNA". It matches the Rfam family "Bacterial small subunit ribosomal RNA", at positions 29 to 420 of the family's 1533-position model. The record is from RNAcentral.